This is an RNA transcript of Drosophila mojavensis, 909 nucleotides long. RefSeq lists it as uncharacterized. The transcript is spliced from 3 exons. Lineage: Eukaryota; Metazoa; Arthropoda; Insecta; Diptera; Drosophilidae. The record is from RefSeq and is a predicted model, not a curated record.
UGCUCAGUACUCAGUUGAUAUUCGUUAAAGGUGAUCGUCGGACGUGAUAUUGUCGUCCAAGGCAAAUAUAUCGUAGUCUUUCUUUUAUUAUUCGUAAACUGUAAAUCGUGUUCAUUGUCUGUCGAUUUCACAUUGAUGUGCAAUUCUUGUUUAACUAAAAGUUAAUGCAUUAAACCAAAAGUGUUGCAGUCUUAAGAGCUACAGAGUUGAUAAAAAGAAAAUAUAAAUAAAAGAGAAACGCCACGUUCUCUUGCUCUACAAAUACAUACGGGUGAUACAUACUUAUAUAUUUUAUGUGCAAUACAUACAAACACAGUGCAGAGCUUAUAAUUAGCUAGUUGCCUCACAUAGCAACAAUCGGAUUUUUUCACAACUAUCAAAAGUCUUUACACACUUUCUUUAAAUAUACUAUAGUACAAAUCAUUUCCACAAGCGUUGCGGAAAAUUUGUUAAGGGAGUUGAAAGUGAAAAGCAAGAAACAAAAUCACCCAGUGCGGUUCCAAUGUAGCCCUUCAUGGUUAAUUAACACGAGCUCGUUGUGUGACUAUAUCGCUGUUUCGUGUUAAAACUAUAUCUAUAAAGGUGUCAGAUCGUAGAAAAUCGAAAAAUAGACUAAAUACAAUUCACAUAAAUACCAUUAGUCAACAAAUACCAAACAAUUAACAGCGCAGACUUUGCGUGACUCAGCAACCAAUCAAAUUUUCCGUACUUCAAAUGGGUUGACUUGGGAUAUUUAAGCUUCCUGGACCCGGGAAACAAAAAAGGGAUAAACUUUGAACUUCAGUAAAUUGAAAUAGUUUGGACGCUCAAUAGAUACAUAAACCGCAUCUGCUGCUACUGGACAUAGCAGCGAGAAGGCAAUAGCAACCACAUACAUAAGCAACCACCUGUAACACACGCACACACGCA